AAUGAACGCUGGCGGCGCGCCUAAUACAUGCAAGUCGAGCGAGAAGACGUAGCAAUACGUUUGUAAAGCGGCGAACGGGUGAGGAAUACAUGGGUAACCUACCCUAGAGUGGGGAAUAACUAGCCGAAAGGUUAGCUAAUACCGCGUACGCUCCUUGGACUUCGGUUCAGGGAGGAAAGCGAUACCGAGGGUAUCGCGCUCUUGGAUGGGCUCAUGUCCUAUCAGCUUGUUGGGAGGUAACGGCUCACCAAGGCUUCGACGGGUAGCUGGUCUGAGAGGACGAUCAGCCACACUGGCACUGCGACACGGGCCAGACUCCUACGGGAGGCAGCAGUAAGGAAUAUUGCGCAAUGGGCGAAAGCCUGACGCAGCGACGCCGCGUGGGGGAGUGAAGGUCUUCGGAUUGUAAA
This 410-nucleotide ribosomal RNA is filed under the name uncultured bacterium. Its description in RNAcentral is "bacterial SSU rRNA". It matches the Rfam family "Bacterial small subunit ribosomal RNA", at positions 29 to 429 of the family's 1533-position model. The record is from RNAcentral.